UGAGGUUACAGUCCUAAGAUAUUUUUAAAAUUUUAUUUAAUAUUUGGUGUUGAUGUUGUUGAUUUAAAGUGUGUUUUAGCUAGUAUACGUAAUUCGAGUAUUUUCCUUGUCCAUUGCUACGUUGUUUCUACAGUUAGAUGAUUGAAUGAGGGCAUAUUAAAGUUUAUUUGGAAGCUACUAGUCCAACUAUACAAUGGUGUUAUUCGUUCAGUUUGUUUUUCCCUCAUCUUUUCUUGAUCUUGGUGGAACGUCAUGCAUUUGAUUUAGAUCUCCGCUGGAACCCAAUAUCCAUAAUAGAAGGAACACAUGUUAGUAACAAAGUAACUAAAUGCAUUCCCAACAAUUUGCUACUGUGAGAGCAUUUUAGACUGCACUUACUUGUAAAGAAAGGUAGGAUUUUAUUUAACAUGUUUUCAUAUCA
Long non-coding RNA from Agrilus planipennis (emerald ash borer), 421 nucleotides. RefSeq lists it as uncharacterized. The record is from RefSeq and is a predicted model, not a curated record. Lineage: Eukaryota; Metazoa; Arthropoda; Insecta; Coleoptera; Buprestidae. The transcript has 3 exons.